GCGGAUGUGGCGGAAUCGGCAGACGCACCAGACUUAGAAUCUGGCGAGCAAUCGUGGGGGUUCAAAUCCCUUCAUCCGCACCA
Molecule: transfer RNA, 83 nt
Filed under: Erysipelothrix sp.
Lineage: Bacteria; Bacillati; Bacillota; Erysipelotrichia; Erysipelotrichales; Erysipelotrichaceae
Description: tRNA-Leu
Rfam family: tRNA
About the family: Transfer RNA (tRNA) molecules are approximately 80 nucleotides in length.
Source: RNAcentral